GGCGACCUCUCUGCCAUUUGUGGUUCUCUUUGCUAUCUUGAUUCUCUUUCUCUUCAUUUCCCAUGCAAAUGCCACUGGUGGCUUCAACUCCACCUCCACUUUCUCUCGUUCGCCACCACCACCACCGUCACAAACGCUGCACUCAACUUCAAUACCACCUCCCCCGCCGCCGCCUACCAUCUCUAACGACCUCCAUGAAAACUCCUUCUCUCACACAGCUCUUCUCGCUCCAAUCCUUUCCCAUCUCGGCUUUAACGAGCUGUCCAUGGCUGCUCCUUCUCUCUCAUCCGACUCCUCGACCAACCCCUGGUCUGGCCCCUCCACAAUCUUUGCUCCCUCUGACUCUUCUCUCCACACGUGCUUAUCUUGCUCCAUUCCAAAUAUCCUUCGUGAACACAUUAUUCCUGGUCUUUACACCAUCGAUUAUCUCCGCAAGCUCGCCUUUGGCACUAAAAUAGAAACUCUAAGCCCUGGCCGUUGCCUCACAGUGACUUCCACUUCGAUAGAAAACGCAACCGCAUCAGCCACUGUGGAGAAGGUUUUCAUCGGUGGCGUGGAGAUAACGCACCCAGAUCUGUUCAACAACGGUCUGAUUGUAAUUCAUGGAAUUCAAGGCUUUGUCGCUCCUCUCUCUCCAUAUUCUUGCGAUGUGGAGAGAUUAAACUCGCUUUCGAUUCCGUUUUACAUGCCAGAUCGCUCGUCUCGCCAAAUUCACAACCAGCCUCUGGCGCAGCCUGCUAUCUUGCGCUUGAUGCUGCGUGAUGCCAUGCUCAGGCUCCGCAACAAUGGCUUUAGCAUCCUCUCUCUCGCUAUAAGAGUGAAAUACGCUGAGCUGGCGAGCUUAAACAACAUGACUGUUUUUGCUCUCGACGACGCUUCAAUCUUCUCUGGAUCUCACUCUUACAUUAGUAGCGUAAGGUUUCACAUGGUGCCCGAUCAUUUUUUGACGGCUACAGACCUGGAGAAGCUACCAGUGGGGGCCACACUGCCAACGCUUGAAAGAGGGCAGUCUCUGGUGGUUACCACUGCUGGUGGAGGAGGUACAGCAGCCUAUCCGAUGAGG
Molecule: unclassified non-coding RNA, 1063 nt
Filed under: Hevea brasiliensis (rubber tree)
Lineage: Eukaryota; Viridiplantae; Streptophyta; Magnoliopsida; Malpighiales; Euphorbiaceae
Source: RNAcentral